Molecule: long non-coding RNA, 22839 nt
Filed under: Gossypium barbadense (sea-island cotton)
Lineage: Eukaryota; Viridiplantae; Streptophyta; Magnoliopsida; Malvales; Malvaceae
Description: long non-coding RNA (GBAR_LNC020395)
Source: RNAcentral
CUACAUUUUGUCGAAAACUGGACAUUGAAGAUUCAUUUAUGAAGCUAGUCGUAAAAAAGACACGAAAGAGCCUUCAAGCAGAUGCCUUGAUACUCAACACCGCUGAAGAGCUCGAUGGGCCUAUACUAUCUCAAAUAUGCACCAAAUGCCCUCGUGUCUAUGCCGUUGGACCCUUACAUGCUCAAUUAAACACUAGACUCAAUGUAAAACAUGGAGAAUCAUAUGAUUAUUUCUCGAAUACACUUUGGGAAGUGGAUAAAAGCUGCAUCUUUUGGCUCAAUAAGCAACCAAAUCGAUCUGUUAUCUAUGUAAGUUUUGGUAGCAUUACGAGCAUGUCAAGGGAGCAACUUUUAGAGCUUUGCUAUGGACUUCUUAACAGUAAAACGAAGUUCUUGUUUAUUGUAAGGCCAAAUUCCGUGAUUGGAAAAGAUGGUGAAGGGGAGGAUGUUGUAAUGGAGCUUAUGGAGAAGAGUAAGGAUCGAGGUUACAUUGUAAAUUGGGCACCACAAGAGGCGGUCUUGAACCACCCAGCCGUUGGCGGGUUCUUUACGCAUAAUGGAUGGAACUCGACUUUGGAGAGCAUCGUCGCACGGGUGCCUAUGAUUUGCUGGCCUUACUUUACUGACCAACACGUGAAUAGUAGGGUUGUGAGUGAGGUGUGGAAAAUAGGGUUGGAUAUGAAGGAUGUAUGUGAUAGAAAGAUAGUUGAGAAAAUGGUAAAUGAUGUGAUGGUGGAUCGAAAGGAGGAGUUUGCAAAAUCCGCAUCUGAAAUGGCUAAGGUAACCAAUCAAAGUGUUAAUGUUGGUGGGUCUUCUUAUAGUAAUUUGGACUGUUUAGUUGAAGAUAUUAGAAUAAUGAGCUUGAAAAAACUCACAAAAUGAGCUUUGAACCACCCAGCCGUUGGCGGGUUCUCUUCAUUUUAAUUUUUUUUAUUGCAAUAUCUCUUUAAACAAAGUAAUUGAAUAGCAGUAAAACUUUUCAAAAUAUCCUUACAUGAUUGAAUAACUUGAUCAAUUACAAUCACCAAAUUUUUUUAUUAUUAACCUUAAAAAUAUGUACAACAAUAGUUACUUAAAUCCUAUCAAAAUAUGCCAAUAAAAUAGGUAAUUUAUAAACAACUUAAUUGCAAAUUGAGUUGUGACUAACUGAGUAAUUGACGAAUGAUGCAAGUCUCAAGACCCAAUUUCAGACUAAUGAAUGUGAUGAUUCACAUUACCUCAAAGCCCAACAAUAGUGUCAAAGGUCAAACAAAUCAAACCAAGAUCCAAUCAAAAACAAUAUUCGAGUAUGAAUUUUUUCGAGAAAAGGGGGAAUGAUAUAUGUAUGAAUGGGAUGAAAUUUAUUACAUUUCAUUCACCAAAGCUGUCAACUUUCAAGUUUAGGAAAUCAACAAACUUGCAACGCCUUUUUGGAUGAGAUCCAGGCAUAUCUGGGUUGAGACUCUUCAUGGUGUUCGAAAUUUAUCUAACUUGGAUUUGAUUGCGUUUCAGAUUAUGUCAAAAUCCAAGUUUCUUUCCUAACGUCUAGAGCCCUAAGUCGAAUUCACGACUUAAAUAAACUUUACGAUCCACUUCCACAUUCAUCUGCCUCAACCUUUAUCAAUGACACUAACAUUCUCACCCUUUGACACUAACAACUAGAGUAUUAUAUUCAUAAAAUGAGCUAAAAUAAAGAAGUAGCAAGUAGCAAACAUUAUGAAUAAACAGAAUACUUAACAGUAAUAAGCAUGCAAAAGGAGAACUCCCCUUCGAUGGUAGCAUCAAUACAUCCCCCCAAUAAACACAAUAGAAGGGGAGCGGACUUUUAUUUCUUUUCUUAAGAUGUGAAUGCAUGGUAAAGAUGGUUUUUUUUUGCACUAUAGGUAUGAAGUGGUUAUAAUAAUUAUUUUCUUUGCUCCACCCUACUUGAUGCGGUCAUUGAAAACACCAAAAAUAUCUUAUCCCUAAUAAAUAAUGAAAAAGAAUAGUAAAAGGGAAGCAGGGUCAAAUUCUUAAGGACUGGAUUUGCACAAUAUCAUGUUCCUUGAAAUCCCAGGCAAAAUCUUGCCCAAGAAAACCUGCGUGCCUGAAAAAAAAAUAAGAAAUAACAAAAUUAAAGGUUUGGAUCUGGAAAUAAAAAAUAAAAUAAAAACAGAAUUAAGAAUAUUGAAUCUAAAAUACGAGAGAUUAAAAAUAGAGUUGAGAUAAAGGAAAUUCUUAUGGGAGAUUCCAACCUCCAGUUGUCUCAUUCCGCCUUAGGUUUAAAUCCUCACCUUUUAGAUUAUCCUUCCCAGACCGAAUAAGCCAGUUAUAGUGGAAGAGGACGCCUACGACCACCAGCUCCAAGGAUUUAGAUUUACAAUUUAGUGGAACCUGACUCUAGCCAACAAUCGCUUCUGUGGGAUUGUCUUAUGCUAGAUCAACACUUCUCAAUGGCGAAUCCCACGCCUUUGUCUCUUGGGCUUGCCAACCUCUGACGCAGUAAGCUAACAAACCGACUGUGCAACCUUCCCAAAACAUACAAAGCGGCCGCAUUUGCAUUCGUUGAAAAGCUUACUUCUUAAGGGACAAGGACAGAAACAUCUACCCCGUAGUGCGGAGAAACGAUGAAUACUCAGCGAGGAGGCUAAGUACGGACUCUAAGCCUCAAGAACCCUUUUUGGGGAAUAUCGACAACCUUCGGCUAGAUGGGUUUAGUGGCUCAUGGUUGUGGUGGAAAAGAAAAUAAAUAUAAUAAAAAUAGAGAUUUUAUUGAAAGGAAAUAUGAGAAGAACAAAAGGCUACACUUUUGGGAAGAGAGUGUUUACAGAAAAAGAUCCAUCUCUUUUGAGUCACUUCACCCCCUAUUUAUAGUGAUAGAAGAGAUAGUCUAAUCCUACCUAAAUUCCCAAAAGAUAAAUACAUUUAAUUGAAGAUAAAUAAAGAUAAAUUAAAUAAAAUCCUAAAAUUAAAUAAUCUUUAAUAAUUAUCUUAAUAUUAAUUAUCCUAAUAUAAUUAAAAUAGAGUCUGAUAGAAUAAAAUCUCUUUUUUUUUGCAUUUCAACCCUUGUGUCCUCCAAGCUUGCACUUUUGACACCAACUUGUACUUGUCAUAUCGGACUUGUAUAAUCCCGUAAUAAUACUAUGCCCAUUGAACCAUCUAAAAUAUCGUAGGAUACGCGGGUGGUGCACACGAAGUGUACUGAAUGGUAAACCGUCAAUUCUUAUACAUGUGUGCUCAUACGAGCGAUAAACAGUAAGCUCAUCCGAGCUUAAUAUCAGUAAACUCUUCCGAGCAGAAUAACAAUAAGGUCAUCGAGGAUAGGUACAUGGACGUAGCUAAAGGGGCUGACAGGGGCCUUCAUCCCCCUAAAUGAAAAUUUUUUCAUGUAAGUCUUUUAAAAUUUUUGAAAUUUUAAAUUAUAAGAGAUAAAAUUACACUUUAACCCCUUAAAAUGAUAAAAUUUUGAUUUAAUCUUUUAAAAAUUAUAAAAUUAUAAACUAUUAAAAAUAAUGAAAUUAUAUUUUUAUCAUUAUAAGAAUUACAAGUUAAUUUUAGACAUGAAAAAGUUUUCUACUCUUGGAUAGAUAAGAACCUAAUUGGUUUCCUAAAAAUAUGAUAAAUAUAUCAUUUAUUUCUUAACUUAUAAAUUAAUACAUUCUCCACCUUAGCCAAAGACAUCUUUUGGCCAUUAAAUAGCUUCCAAAUUGUUGAUUCUUAAGCACAUAAAAGUCAAAAAGCCCCUCAAAACAGAUCAUCCAAUUAGAUGGAGGAGCAGGAUCGAUCCUCUCAACCCCGUCCUCCACAUGUCCUCAUCUUCCCCCUCCCAUUACAGGGCCAUAUAAACACCAUGAUUAAGCUGGCUGAACUGCUACCUAUCGCCGGCUUCAAGCUCACUUUCCUCAACUCCCACCACAACCAUAAACGCUUGGUCAAGUUCAACAAUAUUGCUGCCCAUUUUGAAAGAUACCCAGGGUUCGAAUUCAAGACCAUAACCGAUGGUCUCCCUCUUGAUCAUCCUAGGUCAGGGAGCUGGUUCCUUGAUAUGUUUGAAGAAACCAUGGAACCUAAGAUGAAGCAAAGUUUGAGAGAGGUACUUGUGAAUAGCAGCCCACCAGUAGAUUGCGUAAUUGCAGAUGGGUUUUUAGGCUUUGCUCUUGAUGUUGCAAAGGAGGUUGGAAUCCCCAUUAUUAUUUUUUUCAUACCAGCAGUUCUUGUUGUUUCAGGGUUUCUUAUUCUAUCCCUGAUAUAAUCCAAGCUGGGGAGCUUCCCAUCAAUGGUAAAUCCACUUCUUUCUCAUCAACUUUGUUUAUUGUACCAUGUUUAGCACUGUUUUUAACUUAGAAUAACACAAAACCUUAAGUCGAAAUGAUUUGACAAGCAUGUUGAAGAAAUUAACGAGAAAGACAUUUGGAAUAUUCCUGUUAAUUAGGCGAGUUGAUUUGGUUUAUGUAGGAUUAAUUCGAAAUUUAAAAUUUUUAAAUCAUUUCAUGUUUGAAUGAUUUUGAGUUUCAACGGGUUCUUGUCAUUUAGAUUUACUAAUUUAACUUUUAAAUUCGAAUUAUUUUUGGUUAUUUUGUUUUCGGGUCACUUUAGGUUAGCUAGCUGGGUAUUUUUGUGUCGAUUUUCAAGUUGAAUCAUUUCAGGAUUGUUUUUAUUCUGAUUUAAUACUUAAGUUUAGACCACUUUGGGUAACUUGUACCCGUUGUUUAUAAGUUCGAGUCGUUCGAAGUUGUGAUCAUAUUUGAGUUUAGAUUAUUUCGAAUUUAAAUUGUUAAAUUUCUAUGAUUAAAUAAAUUUGAAUCUGAUAUGAGUUUCAAUUAAUUGGGUUUGUGAUAAUUGACACUAGUAAAUGGGUUUUUGUUAUACAAUUGAAGGAAGUGAAGACAUGGACCGGCUAAUAACGACAGUGCCAGGCAUGGAAACUUAUCUUCGAUGUCGAGAUCUUCCAACUUUUUGUCGAAAACUUGACAUUGAAGAUUAAAUUAUGAAGUAAUAUCUCUUUAAACAAAGUAAUUGAAUAGCAGUAAAACUUUUCAAAAUAACCUUAAAAAGAUGUAAAACAAUAGUUACUUAAAUCCUAUCAAAAUAUGCCAAUAAAAUAGGUAAAUUACAAACAACUCAAUUGCAAGUUAAGUUGUGACUAACUGAGUAAUUGACGAAUGAUGCAAGCCCCAUGACCCAACAACCAAUUUCAGACUAAUGGAUGUGAUGAGUUCACAUCAUCUCAAAGCUGAACAAUAGUGUCAAAGGCCAAACAAAUCAAACCAAGAUCCAAUCAAAGACAAUAUUCGAGUAUGAAUUUUUUCGAGGAAAGGGGGAUGAUAUAUGUUCGGAUGGGAUGAAAUUUAUUAAAUUUCAUACACCAAAGCUGUCAACUUUCAAGUUUAGGAAAUCAACAAACUUGCAACGCCUUUUUGGAUGGGAUCCAGGCAUAUCUGGGUAGAGAUUCUUCAUGGCGUUCGAAAUUUAUCUAUCUUGGAUUUGAUUGCUUUUCAGAUUAUGUCAAAAUCUAAGUUUAUUUCCUAACGUCUAGAACCCUAAGUAAAAUUCGCGACUUAAUAAACUUUACAAUACACUUCCACAUUCAUCCGCCUCAACCUUUAUCAAUGACACAAACAUUCUCACCCUUUGACACUAACAACUAGAGUAUUAUCUUCAUAAAAUGAGCUAACAUAAAGAAGUAGCAAGUAGCAAACAUUAUGAAUAAACAGAAUACUUAACAGUAAUAAGCAUGCAAAAGGAGAACUCCCCUUCGAUAGUAGCAUCAAUACAUCCCCCCAAUAAACACAAUAGAACGGGAGCGGGCUUUUAUUUCUUUUCUUAAAAUGUGAAUGCAUGGUAAAGAUGGUUUCUUUUUUUGCAUUAUAUGUAUGAAGUGUUUAUAAUUAUUAUUUUCUUUGCUCCACCCUACUCAUUAUAUAAAGUUAUUAUUUUAUCCUAUAUAUUUGUUGAUACAACAUACAACAAGGAAGGAAGAUAAGGAGGAGGUCAAGAUGGUGCAAUGGAGGCCAAUUCACCUAAAGAGGUUGAGAGUCGAAACAAGAACAAAAUGACAAACUAACCAAGAAGACAAUUGCUCGGUAACUCUAGAGUGCUAAAAAAAAGGAUCUUUUUGCAUCAUUCCUUAGAAUAUUUUCUCUUGUCCAUUGAUAUGACAUGGUCAGAUAAACAUUCAAUCCCGCAAAAUGUGUAAAGGAUAUUUAUAGGCGUAAAUCAUGGGACCUUAUCAAUAUGAGAUUAUUGUGCCUAAAUGGACUCCUUAUCAUAUAAAGAGUGCAUUCAUACUAAGAGAAUGUUAAUACUUAAAACAGGUGGAUGGUUCCAUCUAAGAGGAAUGAGUGGUCUAUUGAAGCGUUACUUCAAAUGAAGUCAACAAAAGAUCUAUAAUGCAUCUGAUAUUGACACGUGUCCGAGUGACGGAGGGAUAUUUGGGCUUAUACAGUCCUUAUUAUUGCAACUAUGAUAAAAUCAUGCUGUAAUAAAUAAUUGUAGUCACGUGACAUGCAAUAAGAUUGAAUCUUUCUGAUUUCUUUUUGCAAGUUUUAAAAGUACGAGUUUGACAAUGUUGUCUUUAAUUGCAGGCUGAUUUGAUGCAAAUGCAAUUUUUUUUAUAAUAAUCAAAACAAUAAAUAAAUUGUGUCUAGUGCUCUCAUCUUUUAGAAUAUCUUAAUCUCCAUGACAGCUAUCAAAUAUAUAUAAAAUUUCAUUAUUCAAGAGGGUUAUUUUUGUUAAUAUGUCUGCAGUUUUAUUAUUCAUUUUAGGAACGUAUCUCAAUGAUCAUAUCUUCUUUUUAGCAAGGAUAUGUUGAAUCAUCCUAAUUAAGGUUAGUUUUUUCAAGCUUAUUAUCGCUAAUAGCUGUUACGACCUCAAGACUAUUAGAAUAAAUGAUAAUCUUAUCAUAUCCUUAUUUUUUUAAUAUGUGUAAACUAUUUAAUAUGUCCCAAAAGUCAACAGCUACAAACGAAUAUUUCUCCAAAAAGUGAUUAUAGUCCAAAAUCUAAUUUCUCUUCCCAUCACAUAUUACUCCACCUACAGCUUAAAAACUAGAAAUAGAAUUAACAGCACCUUCAAUAUUAAGAAGAAAACCCAUAGCUGCAGAUCCAUCACCAAGACUUCAUUAUUUGUUGGCCUUGCUUUGGUGACCAACAAUUGAACAGUAGGUUUGUGGAGGAAGUCUGGAAAUUAAUUAGGAUUAGAUAUGAAGGAUGUGUGUGAUAGGAGAGUUGUGGAGCAAAUGGUGAAUGAUUUAAUGGUGGAAAAAAGGGAGGAGAUUUUGAAAUCAGCUGCUGAAUUUGCUAAAUUAGCCAAAAGAUCUGUGAAUAUUGGUAGGUCUUCGUAUUAUAAUUAGAACUGUCUAAUUGAGGACAUAAGAAUGGUGAAUAAAAAUUGUUAAAAACGUGAAAUUUUGAGAUAGGGACAACAAAAUAAGGGGCCUUUCCCUUCCCCACUUUUUUUAUUAAAUUAUUUCCUAGGUUCCUGCUAAUUUCGAGUUAAACAAUUUGACCCUAAUUUCUUUAAUUAUCUUUUACAUCUUUGUCAACUUUUAAAGUAAUAAUCGUAUUUGUUUGCUUUUAUACUAAUAUAUGAUUUUCAAUUGAUAAAAAAAAAUUAAAAAUUAGUUGAAAAUACUAAUAUCUCGUAUUAAUUGAUAAGAGUUACGAUAAUUAUCAAUAUAAAUCGAUAUUGAUUGAAAUUAAUUAAAAUAUAUUAAUUUUUUUACUAAAAUUGAACUUAAAUAAUUUGGUAUCAAAAUGGUGGGGACUAUUAUCCAAUAAUGUUUUCUCUUGAUUCUGUCCCUGCCCGAAGUAGCUAGUGAAGGGGAAUAAAGAUGUUUCGUAUAGGAAAAUUGCUUUAACGAAAAUGGUGAAUGAAAUUGAUAUGGUUGAAAACAAAGAAGAGACUGAGAAAUCUGUCGGCGGCCCUUGCUGCAAUUUCGAUUGUUUUAUUAAAGACAUAAAAGAACAUGUUGUAAUUAAUUAACUUGCAGUCACAUGGCAUGCGAUGAAGAUGGAUUUUUUUUUUUAAAUUAGAUUCAAGGUUAUUAAAUAUUAAUAAGUUUAUAUUUUGAUUAAUUAAUUAGAUACAAAAUAAUCACUAAACUAUUCAAAAGAUUUUGUUUAAGUCAUUAGCUUUAAGUUUGGUUUACAAGCUUCAAACAACAAUUCGACGAAUAAUAUGGUAGAUCAGUACCCAUUAAAAAAUAGAAGAACUUAACAUAGAUCCAAGUCGAUCUGACAGUCAAUGUUGGAGAUUGAAGAAGAAUGUUAUUUGGACUUUGGCUCGUAAAUAUGAAAAGAAAUUGAACCGUAAAAGAAAAGGGGAAGAAAAGUUUUCAAUUUGUACAAGCGAUGCGAACGGAAAAAACUAUACAAUAAAACAAAGUAAUUGAACAAAGUAAUUGAAUAAUUAUCUUUCAAAAAUUAUAAAAAUAUAAACUAUUAAAAAUAAUGAAAUUAUAUUUUAAUCAUUAUAAGAAUUACAAGUUAAUUUUAGACAUGAAAAAGUUUUCUACUCUUGGAUAGAUAAGAGCCUAAUUGGUUUCCUAAAAAUAUGAUAAAUAUAUCAUUUAUUUCUUAACUUAUAAAUUAAUACAUUCUCCACCUUAACCAAAGACAUCUUUUGGCCAUGAAAUAGCUUCCAAAUUGUCGAUUCUUAAGCACAUAAAACUCAAAAAGCCCCUCAAAACAGAUCAUCCAAUUAGAUGGAGGAGCAGGAUCGAUCCUCUCAACCCCGUCUUCCACAUGUCCUCAUCUUCCCCCUCCCAAUACAAGGCCAUAUAAACUCCAUGAUUAAGCUAGCUGAACUGCUAGCUAUCGCCGGCUUCAAGCUCACUUUCCUCAACUCCCACCACAACCAUGAACGCUUGGUCAAGUUCAACAAUAUUGCUGCCCAUUUUGAAAGAUACCCAGGGUUCGAAUUCAAGACCAUAACCGAUGGUCUCCCUCUUGAUCAUCCUAGGUCAGGGAGCUGGUUCCUUGAUAUGUUUGAAGAUACCAUGGAACCUAAAUGAAGCAAAGUUUGAGAGAGGUACUUGUGAAUAGUAGCCCACCAGUAGAUUGCAUAAUUGCAGAUGGGCUUUUAGGCUUUGCUCUUGAUGUUGCAAAGGAGGUUGGAAUCCCCAUUAUUUUUUUUUGUACCAGCAGUCCUUGUAGUUUCUGGGUUUAUUAUUCUAUCCCUGAUAUAAUCCAAGUUGGGGAGCUUCCUAUCAAUGGUAAAUCCUCUUCUUUCUCAUCAACUUUGUUUAUUAUACCAUGUUUAGCACUGUUUUUAACUUAGAAUAACACAAAACCUUAAGUCGAAAUGAUUUGACAAGCAUGUUGAAGAAAUUAACGAGAAAGACAUUUGGAAUAUUCCUGUUAAUUAGGCGAGUUGAUUUGGUUUAAGUUGGAUUAAUUCGGAAUUUAAAAUUUUUAAAUCAUUUCAUGUUUGAAUGAUUUUGAGUUUCAAUGGUUCUUGUCAAUUAGAUUUACUAAUUUAACUUUUAAAUUCGAAUUAUUUUUGUUAUUUUUGUUUUCGGGUCACUUUAGGUUAGCUAGCUGGGUAUUUUUGUGUCGAUUUUCAAGUUGAAUCAUUUCAGGAUUUUUUCCAUUCGGGUUUAAUACUUAAGUUUGGACCACCAUGAAUAAUUUGUUCCCGUUAUUUUUAAGUUCAAGUCGUUCGAAGUUGUGAUCAUGUUUGAGCUUAGAUCAUUUCAAAUUUGAGUUGUUAAAUUUAUAUGAUUAAAUAAAUUAAAUCUGAUAUGAGUUUGAAUUAAUUGGGUUUGUGAUCAUUGACACUAGUAAAUGGGUUUUUGUUAAACAAUUGAAGGAACUGAAGACAUGGACCGGUUAAUGACGACAGUGCCAGGCAUGGAAACUUAUCUUCGAUGUCGAGACCUUCCUACUUUUUGUCGAAAACUGGACACUGAAGAUUCAAUAUUUAUGAAGCUAGUCGUAGAACAGACACGAAAGAGCCUUCAAGCCGAUGCCUUGAUACUCAACACCGCCGAAGAGCUCUAUGGGCCUAUACUAUCUCAAAUACGCACCAAAUGCCCUCGUGUCUAUGCCGUUGGACCCUUACAUGCUCAAUUAAACACUAGACUCAAUGCAAAACAUGGAGAGUCAUAUGAUCACUUCUCGAAUACACUUUGGGAAGUGGAUAAAAGCUGCAUCUUUUGGCUCAAUAAGCAACCGGGUCGAUCUGUUAUCUAUGUAAGUUUUGGUAGCAUUACGAGCAUGUCAAGGGAGCAACUUGUUGAGCUUUGGUAUGGACUUCUUAACAGUAAAACGAAGUUCUUGCUUGUUGUAAGGCCAAAUUCCGUGAUUGGAAAAGAUGGUGAAGGGGAGGAUGUUGUAAUGGAGCUUAUGGAGAAGAGUAAGGAUCGAGGUUACAUUGUAAAUUGGGCACCACAAGAGGCAGUCUUGAACCACCCGGCCAUUGGCGGGUUCUUUACGCAUAAUGGAUGGAACUCGACUUUAGAGAGCGUUGUCCCAGGGGUGCCUAUGAUUUGCUGGCCUCAGUUUGCUGACCAACACGUGAAUAGUAGGGUUGUGAGUGUGGUGUGGAAAAUAGGGUUGGAUAUGAAGGAUGUAUGUGAUAGCAAGAUAGUGGAGAAAAUGGUAAAGGAUGUGAUGGUGGAUCGAAAGGAGGAGUUUGCAAAAUCCGCAUCUGAAAUGGCUAAGGUAACCAAUCAAAGUGUUAAUGUUGGUGGGUCUUCUUAUAGUAAUUUGGACUGUUUAGUUGAAGAUAUUAGAAUAAUGAGCUUGAAAAAACUCACAAAAUGAGCUUUGAACCACCCAGCCGUUGGCGGGUUCUCUUCAUUUUAAUUUUUUUUAUUGCAAUAUCUCUUUAAACAAAGUAAUUGAAUAGCAGUAAAAAUUUUCAAAAUAUCCUUACAUGAUUGAAUAUCUUGAUCAAUUACAAUCACCAAAAUUUUUUUAUUAUUAACCUUAAAAAGAUGUGCAACAAUAGUUACUUAAAUCCUAUCAAAAUAUGCCAAUAAAAUAGGUAAAUUACAAACAACUCAAUUGCAAGUUAAGUUGUGACUAACUGAGUAAUUGAGGAAUGAUGCAAGCCCCAUGACCCAACAACCAGUUUCAGACUAAUGGAUGUGAUGAGUUCACAUCAUCUCAAAGCUCAACAAUAGUGUCAAAGGCCAAACAAAUCAAACCAAGAUCCAAUCAAAGACAAUAUUCGAGUAUGAAUUUUUUCGAGGAAAGGGGGAUGAUAUAUGUUCGGAUGGGAUGAAAUUUAUUAAAUUUCAUACACCAAAGCUGUCAACUUUCAAGUUUAGGAAAUCAACAAACUUGCAACGCCUUUUUGGAUGGGAUCCAGGCAUAUCUGGGUAGAGAUUCUUCAUGGCGUUCGAAAUUUAUCUAUCUUGGAUUUGAUUGCUUUUCAGAUUAUGUCAAAAUCUAAGUUUAUUUCCUAAAGUCUAGAACCCUAAGUCAAAUUCGCGACUUAAACAAACUUUACGAUACACUUCCACAUUCAUCUGCCUCAACCUUUAUAAUGACACUAACAUUCUCACCCUUUGACACUAACAACUAGAGUAUUAUCUUCAUAAAAUGAGCUAACAUAAAGAAGUAACAAGUAGCAAACAUUAUGAAUAAAUACUUAACAGUAAUAAGCAUGCAAAAGGAGAACUCCGCUUCGAUGGUAACAUCAAUACAUCCCCGCCCCCAAUAAACACAAUAGAACGGGAGCGGGCUUUUAUUUCUUUUCUUAAAAUGUGAAUGCAUGGUAAAGAUGGCUUUUUUAUUUUUUGCAUUAUAUGUAUGAAGUGUUUAUAAUUAAUAUUUUCUUUGCUCCACCCUACUCAUUAUAUAAAGUUAUUAUUUUACCCUAUAUAUUUGUUGAUACAACGUACAACAAGGGAGGAAGAUAAGGAGGAGGUCAAGAUGGUGCAAUGGAGGCCAAUUCACCUAAAGAGGUUGAGAGUCGAAACAAGAACAAAAUGACAGACUAACCAAGAAGACAAUUGCUCGGUAACUCUAGAGUGCUAAAAAAAGGAUCUUUUUGCAUCAUUCCUUAGAAUAUUUUCUCUUGUCCACUGAUAUGACAUGGGCAGAUAAACAUUCAAUCCCGCAAAAUGUGUAAAGAAUAUUUAUAGGCAUAUAUCACGGGUCCUUAUCAGUAUGAGAUUAUUGUGCCUAAAUGGACUCCUUAUCAUAUAAAGAGUGCAUUCAUACUAAGAGAAUGUUAAUACUUAAAAUGGGUGGAUGGUUCCAUCUAAGAGGGAUGAGUGGUCUAUUGAAGCGUUACUUCAAAUGACGUCAACAAGAGGUCUAUGAUGCAUCUGAUAUUGACACGUGUCUGAGUGACGGAGGGGUAUAGCAACAUUAAAUAUAUGUUCGAGCCUUGAAUUACAUAGUUAAGACUUAGUGGUUUCUGACAAUGUUUUUAUAAUUGAACCCGUGAUCAAACCGAUCAGACCACCAAUUUUUAAUUUAAUUGAUUCAAUCGAUUAAAUCUAUUGAUUCAAUAAAAAAUAAAUUAUAAAUAUAAAAUCUAAUUAUUUAUAAAUUUUGAAAUCUCAUUAUUAAAGUUUUGUAAGUCCACUUUAAGACUAUAUAUAGCCCAUUGAUUGAAAAUCUGUAAAUCCACUUUUAAAGAAUUUAAAAGUUCCUUGUGAAUAUGCAACUCAUCUCUUUUACCCUUUAGACUUGUAAACUUCUCUUCCACUUCCUUUUUGUCAUUCCCUCUUCUCAUUUAUUCUAACUAUUUCUUAAAUGAUCGGUUUUUUUCUAUUCAUUGCUUCUUCUCAAAUACCCAAAUCUCUUUCGUAUCAUUCCAAAUCUCAUGUUUUUCUUUUUCUUUCUUUACAUAAAUAAAAUAUUAUUCUAAUCGAUUUUUUUUGUCAAGUUUCUAAACCCUAUUUAAUUGAAUUUUAAUUGGUUCAUAAUAGUUCGUUUGUUAUCCAUUUUAAUAAAUAGUGUUGGAUGGUCAAAUCUACCAAUUUUCAAUCCAAUCAAUUUAAUUAAUCAAUACAAUUCAAUUUCGACAAUAUUAAUUUCUGAUUUCUAGUUGCUAAUAUAAGAAAAUUAAAUAAAUUAAUUGUUAGGGAAUUUUUAAUUUUUAAGGUAAAUUCAAUUCCUAUUUACUUGGGAGGUUGUCCUAAGUAAUCAAAAUUAUGUUUAAAAUAUUAAAAAUAAUUAAGAAAAAUCAAAAUGAAACAACGUAUGGUAAAAUGAGAAUGGAUAUAUUUAAUAUCUAUAAUGGAAAUAAUAAAUUAUAAAAUUAAAUAUUUAUGAUGGAACGAAAUAGAUAAUAAAAUAAUUAAGAUUUAACAUUAUUUGCUAGGUAUUGUUACAUUUUCUUCCCAAUGGAGGGCAAUGUUAUGUUGGCUUUACUUUUUGGACCAACAAUUGAGAAGUCGCUUUUGUUUGGGAUUUUUUUUUUCCAGAAAUGGUGCAUGAAAGGGUCGGUGAAAAUGGGUAGAUUGGCUAAAUCAUGUGACAGUGUCGGUGGUCCUUAUUAUUGCAAUUUGCAGUCACGUGACAUGCAAUAAGGUGUAAUCUUUCUGAUUUUUUUUUUUGCAAGUUUUAAAAGCACGAGUUUGACAAUGUUGUCAUUAAUUGCAGGCUGAUUUGAUGCAAAUGCAAUUUUUUUAUUUAUAAUAAUCAAAACAAUACGAUUACAGUAAAGUAUUUAUAAAUAAAUUGUCUCUGGUGCUCAAUCUUUUAGAAUAUCUUGAAUCUCCAUAAGGGCUAUGGAACAUAUUUAAAACUUCAUCAUUUAAGAGUCAUUGUUGCUAAUGUGUCUAUUAUUUUAUUAUUCUUUUUAGGAAUGUAUCUUAAUGACCAUUUCUUUUCGUUAGCAAGCAUAUGUUAAAUUCCCUUAAUUAAAAUAGAGGUACUUUUUUCAGGCUUAUUACUGCUAAUUAUUGGAUACCUACAAUCUUUGACUUUUCAAAGAUGAAUAGUGGCAGAAAGUUGGCACCGAAAGUAGAAAGUAAGAUUAGUUGGCAUGGGAUAAUUGCAAUUUUGGUCCCUAAUUGUAUAGGGACAUUGCAAGUUGAUCCUUAAACCUCAACUAUAAAUAGGUCUAACCAUUUCUUACUUUCUUCAUCCCACACUUGCCAUUCUCUACUUAAGGCAAUUGUUCUCUCUCCCUAUUUGUAAACUUUCACUUGUAUUUUUGGAGUGAAAUAUAUUUGGUAGUGCCCGAGGACGUAGGCAAAAUUUGCUGAACCUCGUUAAAAUUCUAGUGUUCUUUAUUUUUUGUUCUGCAUAUUUUGCAAGUGUCAUUGUAGUGAUUUAUUGUGCUAUUAAAUUACGAUAGAGGGAUAUUCUGGCUAGGAAAGAUCUGGUAUGUAAGCGAUCCUCGUGAUCCACCUCUCUUUCCUGGGAAUUGAACUUAGUGUGAUUUUUCAGUACAAUAAUUUUACUCUUUCACACGCUUCCGCGCAACAAUUGGUAUCAGAGCCAGGUUCGUACUUGGGGAAUACGACCGUUUACGGUACUAUUCACGUAUACGGCACUAUUCACAUAUAUAGUACUAUUCACGUAUAUGACACUAUUCACGUAUACGGUACUGUUCACGUAUACAGUAGUUGGGAUUGAGGAGAAAAAUGGCAGCAGCAUCGUCAUCAGUAAGGACUACUGUGACAAAUGCAAAAUUUGAAGUAGAGAAAUUUGACGGUACCAAUAAUUUUGGUAUGUGGCAGUGUGAGAUCCUGGAUGUCUUAUGUCAGCAAGAGCUGGAUAUAGCCAUUGAAGAAAAACCUGACAAGAUGGAUGACAAGGAGUGGGCCAAGAUCAAUAGACAGGCGUGUGGUACAAUCCGCCUAUGUUUGGCCAAAGAGCAGAAGUACUCCGUCAUGAGGGAGACAUCAGCGAAGAAGCUGUGGGAUACAUUGGAAGAAAAGUUUCUAACGAAAAGUCUUGAAAAUAGGCUUUAUAUGAAAAAGAAACUUUUUCGGUUCACGUAUGCACCCGGUAUGUCGAUGAAUGACCAUGUGAACUCAUUCAAUAAAAUUUUAGCAGACUUGUUAAAUUUGGAUGAGAAAUUUGAAGAUGAAGACAAUGCAUUAUUGUUGUUGAAUUCCCUUCCUGAUGAAUAUGAUCAUCUUACCACCACAUUGCUUCAUGGGAAAGAUUCAAUCACAUUUGAUGCAGUCUGUAGUGCGUUGUAUAGAUCUGAGACUCGAAAGAAAGAUAAAAGAGAUCACAGAGAUACAACUGCAGAAGUCUUAACAGUAAGAGGUCGUUCACACACAGCAAACCUGGUAGAAGGGGUAAGUCCAAAGGGAGACCCGCCAAAGAUGAAUGUACCUUUUGUCGUGAGAAAGGGCAUUGGAAAAAGAAUUGUCCUAAGUUACAAAAGGGCAAGUCUAUUUCUAAUGCAUGUGUAGCGGAGCAUGAUGAGGAGUCAGACUUUAGCUUGGUUGGCAUGGCAAUGGCAUGUCAAACGGAUGAGUGGAUAUUGGAUUCGGGAUGUACUUACCAUAUGUGUCCUAAUAAGGACUGGUUUUCUAGUCUUGAAGAACUAGAAGGUGGAGUUGUUUUAUGGGCAAUGAUAGUGCCUGUAAGACAAUGGGUGUAGGUACAAUCAAAUUGAAGAACCAUGACGGCUCAAUCCAAGUUCUGACAGAUGUUCGCUAUGUACCCAGCUUGAAGAAAAAUCUCAUCUCAUUAGGGGCCCUAGAAUCUAAAGGGCUCACAAUCACUUUGAGAGAUGGAUUACUAAAGGUAGUAGCUGGGGUAUUGACGGUGAUGAAAGGCACUAGAAGAAAUAACUUGUACUAUUUAAAUGGAAGUACAGUUAUUGGAUCAACAUCAACAGCUUCUGCGAAAGAUGCAGAUUCAGAGGCUACCAGGUUAUGGCAUAGGCGAUUGGGACAUACUGGUGAAAAAGCUUUGCAGACUUUGGCGAAUCAAGGCUUGUUGAAAGGUGCAAAUUCUUGCAAAUUGGAAUUCUGUGAACAUUGUGUUCUGGGCAAGCAGACGAGGGUAAAAUUUGGUUCAGCAAUUCACAAUACGAAAGGAAUUCUGGACUAUGUUCACAGUGAUGUGUAGGGACCUACCAAAGUGGCUUCUUUGGGAGGUAUGCACUAUUUUGUCACUUUUCUUGAUGAUUAUUCAAGAAAAGUAUGGGUGUAUCUAAUGAAAAGAAAAAAUGAAGUUUUGGAUGCAUUUCUGAAGUGGAAGAAGAUGGUGGAGACUCAGACAGGUCGAAAGGUCAAACGACUUCGAUCAGAUAAUGGUACUGAGUACAAAAAUGAUCCAUUUCUACAAGUAUGUCAAGAUGAGGGCAUUGUGCGACACUUCACUGUUCGAGAUACACCACAGCAGAAUGGGGUGGCAGAACGCAUGAAUCGGACUAUACUGGAGAAAGUUCGAUGUAUGUUGUCCAAUGCUGGAUUGGGCAAGGAAUUUUGGGCUGAGGCAGUUACAUAUGCGUGCCAUCUAAUUAACCGAUUGCCAUCAGCUGCAAUAAAUGGAAAAACUCCUAUGGAGAUGUGGACUGGUAAACCUGCUACUGAUUAUGAUUCUUUACAUGUUUUUGGUUCCACUGCAUAUUAUCAUGUAAAAGAAUCUAAGUUAGACCCAAGAGCAAAGAAAACAUUAUUCAUGGGUAUAACUGGUGGUGUAAAAGGAUACUGUCUCUGGUGUCCUGAUACAAGGAAGAUUGUUUUCAGUAGAGAUGUAACUUUUGAUGAAUCAACCAUGAUGAAGAACGAGGAUUCACAAAAGGAUGACAAAACCAGUAGUACUUUGCAGCAGGUGGAGUUUGAAAAGGUUAAUGAUGAUCCAGCUAAUAUUGGAAGAACAAAUGAUGAAGAAGUUUCGACCCAAGAACUUCUACAGCAACAAGAUUCAAUUGCAUAUAGGAGGCCAAGAAGAGAGAUUCGUAAGCCUGCUCGCUUUGACGAUAUGGUGGCCUAUGCACUUCCAAUUGCAGAUGAUGAUGUCCCUUCCACUUACACAGAAGCAAUAAGUAACUCUGAUGGUGUAAAGUGGAAGCAAGCUAUGAAUGAAGAAAUGCAGUCUCUUCAUAAAAAUAGGACUUGGGAGUUGGUGAGACUGCCCAAGGGAAAGAAGGCAAUUGGAUGCAAAUGGGUAUAUGCAAAGAAGGAAGGAUUUCCUGGUAAAAAUGAAAUUCGAUACAAGGCUAGAUUGGUAGCAAAGGGUUACGCUCAGAAAGAAGGAAUAGACUACAAUGAAGUGUUUUCUCCAGUUGUGAAGCAUUCGUCUAUUCGGAUUUUGCUAGCCUUGGUUGCGCAAUAUGAUCUUGAACUAGUUCAGCUUGAUGUGAAGACCGCCUUUUUACACGGUGAUUUGGAAGAGGAAAUCUAUAUGACUCAGCCAGAUGGAUUCAAGGUUGCUGGAAAAGAAAAUUGGGUUUGCAAACUGACAAAGUCGCUUUAUGGAUUGAAGCAAUCUCCGAGGCAGUGGUACAAGCGAUUUGAUCAGUUCAUGAAAGGGCAAAGGUACACAAGAAGUAAAUUUGAUCAUUGCGUGUAUUUUCAGAAGCUACAAGAAGGAACUUUCAUAUACUUGCUCUUAUAUGUUGAUGAUAUGCUAAUAGCAUCUAAGAGCAAAGUUGAGAUUGAAAGAUUGAAGACUCAACUCAAUCUCGAGUUUGAGAUGAAAGAUCUAGGAGAAGCUAAAAAGAUUCUCGGCGUGGAAAUAUGUAGAGAUAGAGCUCAUGGCAGAGUUAGCUUGUCUCAGAAGCAGUAUUUGAAGAAAGUACUACAGCAGUUUGGCAUGAACGAGCAGACCAAACCUGUAAGUACCCCGUUGGCUUCUCAUUUCAAGCUUUCUGCACAACUAUCUCCUUCGACGAAUACGGAACGAGAAUACAUGUUGCAAGUUCCGUAUUCUAAUGCAGUGGGUAGCUUGAUGUAUGCAAUGGUGUGUACAAGACCCGACAUUUCACAGGCAGUUAGUAUAGUGAGCAGGUAUAUGCAUAAUCCUGAAAAAGGACAUUGGCAAGCUGUGAAAUGGAUUCUACGGUAUAUUCAGAAGACCGUGGAUGUUGGAUUACUGUUCAAGCAGGAUAAUACACUUGGUAAAGGUGUUAUUGGGUACGUUGAUUCUGACUAUGCCGGUGAUUUGGACAAGCGAAGAUCAACCACCGGUUAUGUGUUUACACUUGCUGGAAGAUCAAUAAGUUGGAAGUCUACACUACAAUCUACAGUUGCAUUGUCAACCACAGAAGCCGAAUACAUGGCUGUAACAGAGGCUGUAAAGGAGGCUAUUUGGUUACAAGGUAUGGCUAAAACCUUGGGGUUGGUUCAGGAGCAUAUUAGCGUGUAUUGUGAUAGUCAAAGUGCUAUUCAUUUAGCAAAGAAUCAAGUCUAUCAUGCACGUACAAAACAUAUUGACGUACGAUUCCAUUUUGUGCGGGAAAUUAUUGAAGAGGGGAAAAUUUGUCUUCAGAAGAUCAAGACUGCAGAUAAUCCCGCAGAUAUGAUGACCAAGGUGGUAACAACAACCAAGUUCGAACAUUGUUUGAACUUGAUCAAUAUCCUGCAAGUUUAACAGUUGAAGAAGGCACUAUCAAGUAUUGUUGUCAAAGGUAGAAAGAAUUGUGUGAAGAUAAGAUUAUCCUAAUCAAAUCUUCAAGGUGGAGAUUAUUGGAUACCUACAAUCUUUGACUUUUCAAAGAUGAAUAGUGGCAGAAAGUUGGCACCGAAAGGCACCGAAAGUAGAAAGUAAGAUUAGUUGGCAUGGGAUAAUUGCAAUUUUGGUCCCUAAUUGUAUAGGGACAUUGCAAGUUGAUCCUUAAACCUCAACUAUAAAUAGGCCUAACCAUUUCUUACUUUCUUCAUCCCAUACUUGCCAUUCUCUACUUAAGGCAAUUGUUCUCUCUCCCUAUUUGUAAACUUUCACUUGUAUUUUUGGAGUGAAAUAUAUUUGGUAGUGCCCGAGGACGUAGGCAAAAUUUGCUGAACCUCGUUAAAAUUCUAGUGUUCUUUAUUUUUUGUUCUGCAUAUUUUGCAAGUGUCAUUGUAGUGAUUUAUUGUGCUAUUAAAUUACGAUAGAGGGAUAUUCUGGCUAGGAAAGAUCUGGUAUGUAAGCGAUCCUCGUGAUCCACCUCUCUUUCCUGGGAAUUGAACUUAGUGUGAUUUUUCAGUACAAUAAUUUUACUCUUUCACACGCUUCCGCGCAACACUAAUAGCUGCUAUGACCUUGAUACUAUCAAAAUGAAUGGUAACAUCAUCGUAUCCUUAUUUUUUAACUAUGUGUAAGUCAUCAAAUGUGCCCCAAAGCUCAGUAGUUACAACUGAACAUUUCCCCAAAAAGCGAUUCUAGAAUCUAAUUUUCCUUCCCAUCACAUAUUAUCCCACCUACAGCGGAAAAACCAGAAAUGAAAUUAACGACACUUUCAGUAUUAAGAAGAAAACUCAUACCUAAUUUCGAACGUUCAGGAGACUAUUGCGGAUCCUUCACCAAGACUUCAUUAUUGAUUAAGUAAUAUUUCUUUGCUCAACUGUAAGAAACCUUAAUAAUUUUCUCCAAAUUCAUUGAUUUUCCUUGGAAGUUGAACAAGUUACGAUUUAUCCAGAAGAAGGAAGCCCAGACCGAAUCUGUCAUGUUUUUAUCUGAUUGGUCCUAUAGAUUCGAGAACAACCAUUUUAAAAUAUUACCUUCAAAGAUCCACUUAUUUUGAUUGGAAGAAAUUAUUUGAGUCCAAAUAUCCUUCGAACAUGAACAUCCCCUAAAAAUUAGUAAAACAUCCUCUGUAUGGUGACCACAAAAAUGACAUGACUCAUCAUCACCAGUUCCCGUUCGGACCCUUUCAGAGUUGGUUAAAAGUCUUUGAUUUAGGAUUUUCCAGAUAAACAUAUGACGGUGUACCAACGGAGCUCGUGGAAGGGACAAAAGAAAGAGGGUACAUAGUGGAUUGGGCUCCACAGGAAGAUGUCUUGGCCAUGGGGCUAUUGGUGGGUUUUGAGUCGUAGCGGAUGGAAUUCGACUUUGGAGAGCGUGACAGCGGGGGUGCCCAUGAUUUGUUGGCCUUGCUUUGGUGACCAACAAUUGAACAGUAGGUUUGUGAAGGAAGUGUGGAAAUUAGGAUUAGAUAUGAAGGAUGUGUGUGAUAGAAGAGUAGUGGAGCAAAUGGUGAAUAACUUAAUGGUGGAAAAAAGGGAGGAGAUUUUGAAAUCAGCUGAUGAAUUUGCUAAAUUGGCUAAAGGAUCUGUGAGUGUUGGUAGGUCUUCGUAUUAUAAUUUGGACUGUCUAAUUGAGGACAUAAGAAUGGUGAAUAAAAAUUGUUAAAAAAGUGAAAUUUUGAGAUAGGGACAACAAAAUGAGGGACCUUUCCCAUCCCCACUUUUUUUAUUAAAUUAUUUUCUAGGUUCCUGCUAAUUUCGAAUUAAACAAUUUGACCCUAAUUUCUUUAAUUACCUCGUACAUCUUUGUCAACUUUUAAAUUAAUAAUCGUAUUUGUUUGCUUUUAUACUAAUAUAUGAUUUUCAAUUGAUAAAAAAAUUAAAAAUUAGUUUAAAAUACUAAUAUCUCGUAUUAAUUUAUAAGAGUUACGAUAAUUAUCAAUAUAAAUCGAUAUUGAUUGAAAUUAAUUAAAAUAUAUUAAUUUUUUUUACUAAAAUUGAACUUAAAUUAUUUGGUAUCAAAAUGGUGGGGACUAUUAUCCAGUAAUGUUUUCUCUUGAUUCUGUCCCUGCCCGAAGUAGCUAGUGAAGGGGAAUAAAGAUGUUUCGUAUAGGAAAAUUGCUUUAACGAAAAUGGUGAAUGAAAUUGAUGGUUGAAAACAAAGAAGAGACUGAGAAAUCUGUCGGCGGCCCUUGCUGCAAUUUCGAUUGUUUUAUUAAAGACAUAAAAGAACAUGUUGUAAUUAAUUAACUUGCAGUCACAUGGCAUGCGAUAAAGAUGGAUUUUUUUUUUAAAUUAGAUCCAAGGUUAUUAAAUAUUAAUAAGUUUAUAUUUUGAUUAAUUAAUUAGAUAUAAAAUAAUCACUAAACUAUUCAAAAGAUUUUGUUUAAGUCAUUAGCUUUAAGUUUGGUUUACAAGCUUCAAACAACAAUUCGACGAAUAGUAUGGUAGAUCAGUACCCAUUAAGAAAUAAAAGAACUUAACAUAGAUCCAAAUCGAUCUGACAGUCAGUGUUGGAGAUCGAAGAAGAAUGUUAUUUGGACUUUGGCUCGUAAAUAUGAAAAGAAAUUGAACCGUAAAAAAAAAGGGAAGAAAAAUUUUCAAUUUGUACAAGCGAUGCGAAAAAAACUAUACAAUAAAACAAAGUAAUUGAAUAAUUAUCUUUUAAAAAUUAUAAAAAUAUAAACUAUUAAAAAUAAUGAAAUUAUAUUUUAAUCAUUAUAAGAAUUACAAGUUAAUUUUAGACAUGAAAAAGUUUUCUACUCUUGGAUAGAUAAGAGCCUAAUUGGUUUCCUAAAAAUAUGAUAAAUAUAUCAUUUAUUUCUUAACUUAUAAAUUAAUACAUUCUCCACCUUAACCAAAGACAUCUUUUGGCCAUGAAAUAGCUUCCAAAUUGUCGAUUCUUAAGCACAUAAAACUCAAAAAGCCCCUCAAAACAGAUCAUCCAAUUAGAUGGAGGAGCAGGAUCGAUCCUCUCAACCCCGUCUUCCACAUGUCCUCAUCUUCCCCCUCCCAAUACAAGGCCAUAUAAACUCCAUGAUUAAGCUAGCUGAACUGCUAGCUAUCGCCGGCUUCAAGCUCACUUUCCUCAACUCCCACCACAACCAUGAACGCUUGGUCAAGUUCAACAAUAUUGCUGCCCAUUUUGAAAGAUACCCAGGGUUCGAAUUCAAGACCAUAACCGAUGGUCUCCCUCUUGAUCAUCCUAGGUCAGGGAGCUGGUUCCUUGAUAUGUUUGAAGAUACCAUGGAACCUAAGAUGAAGCAAAGUUUGAGAGAGGUACUUGUGAAUAGUAGCCCACCGGUAGAUUGCAUAAUUGCAGAUGGGCUUUUAGGCUUUGCUCUUGAUGUUGCAAAGGAGGUUGGAAUCCCCAUUAUUUUUUUUUGUACCAGCAGUCCUUGUAGUUUCUGGGUUUAUUAUUCUAUCCCUGAUAUAAUCCAAGUUGGGGAGCUUCCUAUCAAUGGUAAAUCCUCUUCCUUCUCAUCAACUUUGUUUAUUAUACCAUGUUUAGCACUGUUUUUAACUUAGAAUAACACAAAACCUUAAGUCGAAAUGAUUUGACAAGCAUGUUGAAGAAAUUAACGAGAAAGACAUUUGGAAUAUUCCUGUUAAUUAGGCGAGUUGAUUUGGUUUAAGUUGGAUUAAUUCGGAAUUUAAAAUUUUUAAAUCAUUUCAUGUUUGAAUGAUUUUGAAUUUCAAUGGGUUCUUGUCAAUUAGAUUUACUAAUUUAACUUUUAAAUUCGAAUUAUUUUUGUUAUUUUUGUUUUCGGGUCACUUUAGGUUAGCUAGCUGAGUAUUUUUGUGUCGAUUUUCAAGUUGAAUCAUUUCAGGAUUUUUUCCAUUCGGGUUUAAUACUUAAGUUUGGAUCACCAUGGAUAAUUUGUUCCCGUUAUUUUUAAGUUCAAGUCGUUCGAAGUUGUGAUCAUGUUUGAGCUUAGAUCAUUUCUAAUUUGAGUUGUUAAAUUUAUAUGAUUAAAUAAAUUGAAUCUGAUAUGAGUUUGAAUUAAUUGGGUUUGUGAUCAUUGACACUAGUAAAUGGGUUUUUGUUAAACACUUGAAGGAACUGAAGACAUGGACCGGUUAAUAACGACAGUGCCAGGCAUGGAAACUUAUCUUCGAUGUCGAGACCUUCCUACUUUUUGUCGUAAACUGGACAUUGAAGAUUCAAUAUAUAUGAAGCUAGUCGUAGAACAGACACGAAAGAGCCUUCAAACCGAUGCCUUGAUACUCAACACCGCCGAAGAGCUCGAUGGGCCUAUACUAUCUCAAAUACGCACCAAAUGCCCUCGUGUCUAUGCCGUUGGACCCUUACAUGCUCAAUUAAACACUAGACUCAAU